This 497-nucleotide ribosomal RNA is filed under the name uncultured bacterium. RNAcentral's name for it is "partial 16S ribosomal RNA". It matches the Rfam family "Bacterial small subunit ribosomal RNA", at positions 28 to 507 of the family's 1533-position model. The record is from RNAcentral.
GAUGAACGCUGGCGGCGUGCCUAAUACAUGCAAGUCGAGAGAACGGACGAGAAGCUUUCUUCUCUGAUGUUAGCGGCGGACGGGUGAGUAACACGUGGAUAACCUACCUAUAAGACUGGGAUAACUUCGGGAAACCGGAGCUAAUACCGGAUGAUAUUUUGAACCGCAUGGUUCAAAAGUGAAAGACGGUCUUGCUGUCACUUAUAGAUGGAUCCGCGCUGCAUUAGCUAGUUGGUAAGGUAACGGCUUACCAAGGCAACGAUGCAUAGCCGACCUGAGAGGGUGAUCGGCCACACUGGAACUGAGACACGGUCCAGACUCCUACGGGAGGCAGCAGUAGGGAAUCUUCCGCAAUGGGCGAAAGCCUGACGGAGCAACGCCGCGUGAGUGAUGAAGGUCUUCGGAUCGUAAAACUCUGUUAUUAGGGAAGAACAUAUGUGUAAGUAACUGUGCACAUCUUGACGGUACCUAAUCAGAAAGCCACGGCUAACUACGUG